GGAGAGGUGGCAGAGUGGUCUAAUGCACACGCUUGGAAAGCGUGCGUACUGAAAGGUACCGGGGGUUCGAAUCCCUUCCUCUCCGCCA
This 88-nucleotide transfer RNA is filed under the name Candidatus Omnitrophota bacterium. RNAcentral's name for it is "Candidatus Omnitrophica bacterium (sediment metagenome) tRNA-Ser". It matches the Rfam family "tRNA". From Rfam's summary of the family: Transfer RNA (tRNA) molecules are approximately 80 nucleotides in length. Their secondary structure includes four short double-helical elements and three loops (D, anti-codon, and T loops). Lineage: Bacteria; Pseudomonadati; Candidatus Omnitrophota. The record is from RNAcentral.